Molecule: ribosomal RNA, 259 nt
Filed under: uncultured Atopobium sp.
Lineage: Bacteria; Bacillati; Actinomycetota; Coriobacteriia; Coriobacteriales; Atopobiaceae
Description: partial 16S ribosomal RNA
Rfam family: Bacterial small subunit ribosomal RNA
Source: RNAcentral
AGGCGAACGGCUGAGUAACACGUGGGCAACCUGCCCUUUGCACUGGGAUAGCCUCGGGAAACCGAGGUUAAUACCGGAUACUCCAUAUUUGUCGCAUGGCGAAUAUGGAAAGCUCCGGCGGCAAAGGAUGGGCCCGCGGCCUGUUAGCUAGUUGGUGGGGUAGUGGCCUACCAAGGCAAUGAUGGGUAGCCGGGUUGAGAGACCGACCGGCCAGAUUGGGACUGAGACACGGCCCAGACUCCUAUGGGAGGCAGCAGAU